GUUUAAUUACCCUCUAACUCGCAGUGCAGCCUUUGGUUUCUACUGAGCCAGGCUGAAACUCAUCUUUCCUCCAAAAGAUAAGGAGUAUCUGAUAAGUAUCUGGGGACGGACAUGACUCAACGCCAAAGAAGCCAGCUUUACUUUACAGCCGUUCAAAAGGUUAAACAGAACUGCCGGUCGUCCCAACACCCGCCACCACGUUCUGCGCUGGCUGAAGGCUGGGUGCUCCAGCAGACCGCUAACUGAACCGAAGGCCUGUCCCCCGGCAUUGUCGCCACCCUCCUCUUGGCACAAUGGUCCUGUUGUUCUGCAUACCCUGGUGGUUUUCCACAAGGCAUCUGUAGCUUCUUCC
Molecule: long non-coding RNA, 352 nt
Organism: Gasterosteus aculeatus aculeatus (three-spined stickleback)
Lineage: Eukaryota; Metazoa; Chordata; Actinopteri; Perciformes; Gasterosteidae
Source: Ensembl